Molecule: unclassified non-coding RNA, 479 nt
Filed under: Hevea brasiliensis (rubber tree)
Lineage: Eukaryota; Viridiplantae; Streptophyta; Magnoliopsida; Malpighiales; Euphorbiaceae
Source: RNAcentral
AAGAUUAUGUGCUCAUCUUAAUAACUAAAACAACAAACUCAUUUAUUUAGUAACAAAAGCUCCAGCCUAACGUUAUUUUGACAUACAUCUUGAGAAGUAACUGGAGGUUGGAUAUUCCAAUUCACUUCUUCAACAGCCUUAUGCAACACUCAAAUUUGCAGUGACCUCAAGGUCUUGAAGUUGCAAGUAUGUUGGUUGCUGAGUUGAUAUUUUCCAUUUUCACAUGUUAAAAAAUGUUUAACUUAGAUUAAAUUUUGUAGAAAUUGCCCAAUUGCAGUUUGGGCAUGGUUUUUGAGGAGGCUAUUUUACAAUAUAAAUUCUUGUUUUUCUUGAGUAUCUUGUUAGGGAAAACCCAACUGCUUUCACGUACUGUACUAUUUUUGCAGUCCUAGUGCAUUACGAAAGAAUUUGUUAGGCAAUAUAUUUAUUAGACCACAAGAAGGGAAUUUCUGGAAAAAUACUAAGCAUUGUGUUUAAAU